Molecule: ribosomal RNA, 482 nt
Filed under: uncultured organism
Description: bacterial SSU rRNA
Rfam family: Bacterial small subunit ribosomal RNA
Source: RNAcentral
AUUGAACGCUGGCGGAAUGCUUUACACAUGCAAGUCGAGCGGCAGCGCGGGGCAACCUGGCGGCGAGCGGCGAACGGGUGAGUAACAUAUCGGAACGUACCCUGUCGUGGGGGAUAACUAUCCGAAAGGAUAGCUAAUACCGCAUACGACCUGAGGGUGAAAGCGGGGGAUCGCAAGACCUCGCGCGAUAGGAGCGGCCGAUAUCGGAUUAGCUAGUUGGUGAGGUAAAGGCUCACCAAGGCGACGAUCCGUAGCUGGUCUGAGAGGACGACCAGCCACACUGGAACUGAGACACGGUCCAGACUCCUACGGGAGGCAGCAGUGGGGAAUUUUGGACAAUGGGGGCAACCCUGAUCCAGCCAUUCCGCGUGAGUGAAGAAGGCCUUCGGGUUGUAAAGCUCUUUCGGCAGGAACGAAACGGUGAUCCCUAAUACGGAUUACUAAUGACGGUACCUGAAGAAGAAGCACCGGCUAACUACGUG